UUUUUUUUUUUUUUAAUAUAUUAUAAUCUUUGAAUGAAUUGAAUUUAUGUCCUGUGUCCAAAUAGCAACUGUAAUAUUUGAACAGCAUAAAUUUAUGUAGAAAUUAUUACACUUAAGAAUAAUUUUAAUUAAUAUCAAAAUUUUUAAUCUAGUUGUAUUAGAAAGAAACAUGGAUUUUUAAGAUUUUAGACGUUCAUUCCCAACCUGAGAUUUGAAAUUAAGAAUUGUCUGUGCUUCUUUUGCAUGGAUGCACCUUACCUGUUUGGAUAAUGGCUUGCUAUGGACAUAAUGUAUGGUAUGGUUUCUGAUUGUUAUUGAUAAUGUUGGUUUUGGAUAGGGAUGAGCACUAUUUGGAGUAAAUUAAAUAAAUUGGAUUGAAUGUCUCAAGUUAAUAAUAUAAUUUGAUUUUUAAGAUAAUUUGAUUUGGUUUAGGUUGAUUUUAUAUUUUAAAAAAUUUUGAUCAUUUAGUUUUAUUUGAUUUUGGAGAAAAAAAUGGGUGGAUUGAAUUGAAUCAAAUUGUUUUAUUAAUUUUUAAAUUUAUUUAUUUUUAUAUAAAAUAUAUGAGUUAUUUGUAAUUUUAUAUGUAUAUAUUCAUGGAUUAAUGUUUAUAGGAUCAAAUUAAAGUUAAAAUCAUAUCAAAUAACUUAAAAAUAAAAUCUAAAUUAAAAAAAAUUUAGCAAAACUCAAAAUGGAUUAGUUCGAAUUGAUUUUUUAUUCAUUCGAUUUGAUUUUUAAAUAUGAUAUUUUGAUUAAUUCAGUUUUAAUGAUUUAGUUUAAUUCAGUUUGAACUGAAUACUUAAUUUUAGUUUUGGGUGUUACUAUUUUACUACAGCAGCUCCUAAUUUGGUAGUUGAGAUGUCUUAAAGAUUUUAUGUUCUCAUUUAUAAUAUCAAUUUUAUCCUAUUUUGUUAUCUUUAUAAUCCCUUCUGCAUCCUUUCCUCCCUAUUAAAGGGUGUUUUAGUAAUUUUAUAUUUAUUUUAUUGCAAAGGAAAUUAUUAAACCAUUUUAUACCCUACAACCUGUUCAAACAUUUUAAUAAUAAAAACUAUACAUUUAAUAAAUCUGUGUAGUCCGUCUUUUUCUUUUUUUU
RNAcentral lists this unclassified non-coding RNA (1090 nucleotides) under Hevea brasiliensis (rubber tree). The record is from RNAcentral. Lineage: Eukaryota; Viridiplantae; Streptophyta; Magnoliopsida; Malpighiales; Euphorbiaceae.